AGGAAGUGGGAGGAUGUCUGUGUCUAAAAUUGGUUCUUAUUGUAGCCCAGUGGGUUUGUUUUGGUGUUUAUGGAUGAGUGGUACCGGAGGUUGAAGGAGAGGCACUUCCCAAGAAUGGAUCUCAGUGUAGUCUUGGUUCCUUGAAGACCAAGGACCUUCAAUUGAGACACUGUGGACACAGACAGAAAGGCAUGAGAAAGAAAUCUUUUCAGGGGAAGCAGAUGCUGACAGAGAAGGUCUGAGCAGCUAUGGUCAUGAUUGAGGAAAACACUCAAAUGACGUCUGGGGUGUUGAGUACAUAUAAGGGUGGUUGUGAGACAGACCACGGGACUCCAGAAAACCAAGGUGAGGACUUGGAGAGGGGCGGGAGGCUCUGUAGUA
Molecule: long non-coding RNA, 381 nt
Filed under: Homo sapiens (human)
Lineage: Eukaryota; Metazoa; Chordata; Mammalia; Primates; Hominidae
Description: HSALNT0272761
Source: RNAcentral